GUCCACGCCGUAAACGAUGUCAACUAGCCGUUGGAAUCCUUGAGAUUUUAGUGGCGCAGCUAAUGCAUUAAGUUGACCGCCUGGGGAGUACGGCCGCAAGGUUAAACUCAAAUGAAUUGACGGGGCCCGCACAAGCGGUGGAGCAUGUGGUUUAAUUCGAAGCAACGCGAAGAACCUUACCAGGCCUUGACAUCCAAUGAACUUUCCAGAGAUGGAUUGGUGCCUUCGGGAACAUUGAGACAGGUGCUGCAUGGCUGUCGU
RNAcentral lists this ribosomal RNA (261 nucleotides) under uncultured bacterium. Its description in RNAcentral is "partial 16S ribosomal RNA". It matches the Rfam family "Bacterial small subunit ribosomal RNA", at positions 793 to 1055 of the family's 1533-position model. The record is from RNAcentral.